UAUAAAAGCCAGUAUCAAUUGAAGUACAAGUAGGAGACUAAGUACUAUACAAUCGCUCAAAAGAAGCAGCCAUGUCGUGCUCUAUUUGUGUCCAAAUUCUCAAGUCCGCCGGAAAACAUCUCGCCACCGUCUCCAUUUGCGGCCAUGUCUUCCAUCAAUGCUGCCUUGAAAAGUGGAUGGACCGCUGCUCAAUAUACAACAAGUACACUUGUCCAAUGUGCAACCAGGUCUGCCAAAGAAGCAAUGUCACUCGCCUUUAUUUCCCGUCCGACUCAGAGGAUGAGGGAUCAGAUGGCGACGAUGAUCCUGUUGACAACCCUGAUCUAACAGUUAACAGUGGAAUUCGUACUAUGGUAACUACGGCUUGGAAGCAGAUAGAUUGGAUGACAGUUUUAUUGAUUGUCAAGUCUGCCAUAGACAUUGCUCAUUCGCUGAUUCAGAUUGCUGAUAUGUCAAUUAAAUUGUGGAGAUCUUUUAAAUCUAAAAGUGAUGACAAAGAUGAUUGAAAUAACUUUUGCAGUGACGGCGAAGAUGAUAGAAAUGACUAAUAGAUUCCGUAUUAAUUUUUUGGCCAAGGAUUAACUUUUCGAUUCGUUAACAUGUUCAGGUGCUGUUCAGCUUUUUUCUUGUUGUAGAGAAUAGACAAAGUUCUAUGUGGACAGUUUUUUGUAUAUAGUGUUUUAGAAGAUAUAACUGCUUGAAAGGGUCCGGAAACGCAAGGUUAUCAGUGUAGGUUGCUCCUUUUGGAACUGCUUUUUUCCACUGCGAUUAUUUCACGCAAUGGUUGUACCAUGUUAACAAGCCAAUGAAUGUUUUAAAUAUCCUGACAUUGCAAACA
Mercurialis annua (annual mercury) is the source of this 838-nucleotide RNA transcript. It is a transcript of the gene named RING-H2 finger protein ATL57-like, with no coding region annotated. The record is from RefSeq and is a predicted model, not a curated record. The transcript has 5 exons. Lineage: Eukaryota; Viridiplantae; Streptophyta; Magnoliopsida; Malpighiales; Euphorbiaceae.